Molecule: ribosomal RNA, 253 nt
Filed under: uncultured bacterium
Lineage: Bacteria
Description: partial 16S ribosomal RNA
Rfam family: Bacterial small subunit ribosomal RNA
Source: RNAcentral
UACAGAGGGGGCAAGCGUUAUUCGGAAUUACUGGGCGUAAAGGGCUCGUAGGCGGCCAACUAAGUCGGAUGUGAAAUCCCCAGGCUUAACCUGGGAACUGCAUCCGAUACUGGAUGGCUUGAAUCCGGGAGAGGGAUGCAGAAUUCCAGGUGUAGCGGUGAAAUGCGUAGAUAUCUGGAGGAAUACCGGUGGCGAAGGCGGCAUCCUGGACCGGCAUUGACGCUGAUGAGCGAAAGCUAGGGGAGCAAACGGG